Non-coding RNA from Microcebus murinus (gray mouse lemur), 7542 nucleotides. NCBI's taxonomy places the organism in Eukaryota, Metazoa, Chordata, Mammalia, Primates, Cheirogaleidae. The record is from RefSeq and is a predicted model, not a curated record.
GUCGCGCACAGCGCCCCGAGCCCAGGCGCCUCCCCGCCCCCCUCCCCGCGCUCCGCGGCGGCGGCGGCGGCAGUAGCAGCAAUAUGGCUGUUGAUGGGUGUUCGGGGUGGCGCUGGCGGCGGGAGGAGCUCCCCCGAGCCCCUGCGCCGGCCGCCCGUUGCUAGCUAUGGCAAAUGGUGGCGGCGGCGGCGGCGGCAGCAGCGGCGGCGGCGACGGCGGCGGAGGCAGCAGUCUUAGAAUGAGUAGCAAUAUCCACGCGAACCAUCUCAGCCUAGACGCGUCCUCCUCCUCCUCUUCCUCUUCUUCUUCUUCCUCCUCCUCCUCUUCCUCCUCGUCCUCGGUCCACGAGCCCAAGAUGGAUGCGCUCAUCAUCCCGGUGACCAUGGAGGUGCCGUGCGACAGCCGGGGCCAACGCAUGUGGUGGGCUUUCCUGGCCUCCUCCAUGGUGACUUUCUUUGGGGGCCUCUUCAUCAUCUUGCUGUGGCGGACGCUCAAGUACCUGUGGACCGUUUGCUGCCACUGCGGGGGCAAGACGAAGGAGGCCCAGAAGAUAAACAAUGGCGCGAGCCAGGCAGACGGCACUCUCAAACCAGUGGAUGAAAAAGAGGAGACGGUGGCCGCCGAGGUCGGCUGGAUGACCUCGGUGAAGGACUGGGCCGGGGUGAUGAUAUCCGCCCAGACGCUGACUGGCAGAGUCCUGGUUGUCUUGGUCUUUGCUCUCAGCAUCGGUGCACUUGUAAUAUACUUCAUAGAUUCGUCAAAGUGAGUAUUCAAUGCAUUGCCUUGCCUUUUCCCCAAAACAAUUGUUAGCCUUUACAUUGAUCAAUUUGUUUAUCUUAACACCAACCCUUACAAGAGCCUCCUGAGUGUUGAAGAUUUUUGGAGGAAGGCAGGGCUGUUCUGUGCUGACUUUCUGAAUGAGAAAGAAAGCUCUUGGAAGGAAGGCUGCUUCCUUUCUGCUGGCCUGGAAGGAAAAGAUGCCUGGGGUCAAACCUCCUCGCUGGGCAUUAUUUAUUUUUUAAUAACUAUUUCCUGAUGAAAUACUUGCACCGAAGAUGUCAAGAACUUAAGAGAGCUUGAUGGGAAUUUGUGAGCUCUGGGAGGGUUGACAGUGUCCAGCAGAUGGUAGUCCAAGCCAUUCGUUCUUGCCAUGGUUGUAGGAUCCUUUUCUCAUUUGCAUUUCCAAUGCUUUGAUCUCGUUGGAGGUCACAUUAAAACGCAUGGUGUUAUCCUUUUACCUGCCAGCCAAAUAUUCAGCUGAAGCAUCACUCGCUGGUGCUUCUUGACUUGUGAAGGUAAGGAAAUGGGAUGGAGGAGUUCAUGGUGACUCCCAGUGGUGAAGGCCCAUGGCCAUCUGAGAAUUCCUAGAGGAGACACUUGUGCAGACCCCUUGGGUGCCAGCUGAGUGGACUGGUGCUCUAGGGUGAGCCUGGAUGACAGAUGGUAAAGAUCUUGCAGGAGGAAGAGGCCACUGACCAGGCUGCUAAAUGGCAGCCAGACGUGCCCUGUUUCCUGCAGGUGCCACCCCUGGGACCUUCAUUGUUUCAACUAUCCUAUUGCAAUCUUGAAGUUGACGGCUUCCGGGAGAUGAGGGGAGCUGGAGUCUAACUCCAUUUCUGUUGAGACACCAGCUUGGCAACUCUGGCAACAGUGGCCUUGAGCUCGUUCCCUCAUUGUCCACUGUGAGAGUGAUUUUAACUUCUUUAACUCUAUCCUGGAUACUAGACUUCGAUCCUAGGAAAUCUGCGUGGUGUUCCUGUUGGCUCAGACCGCAGCUUGCCUGAAUUCUGAGCUUAGUUUUCUGGGGCUCAGAAUGGUAGUAAUUUCAUGCACACCUAAACUCUGAAUUUCUCAGAGCCAUCUGGUCACCAGCCAAAGGAUUUUGUGCAUUUGGGUGCAGAGGCCAAAAUGGCAUGUCAGAGAAAAUAAAGAAAAUAUCUCCUCUAAUAACCUGUCUCUGGGAAUCAGCCAAGUCUGAGAAUAUCUGAGGUCCUUCACCCUGUCCCCACACAAGCCUGGGCUCCUCAGGAAACAGAGCUGCACAUGCUUCCUCCAUCAGCUCUCCCUAGCCAAGAAAGAGAAGAGCUUUUUUAAGUGUGGAAGACUCCAAUUGCCAUGUCAUUGAAGGAGUGUUCUCGCAUGUCGUGGGGUGCAGACCCUGCCAACUUCUAUGCUGGGGCUCAGGAAAAAGGUUCAGGCAUGUAGCCUGUGCCCCAGCAAGAGCAAAUCCUUAUGUGGAGGUGAGUGUGCUGAUGUGUUAGGAGGACAGAUGCCCUGGUCAGCGCCUUCCUGCCCUUUGCCUACCUUUUGCCUCCUCUGUAUUUCUCAGAAAUAAAAUGCUUUUUAGAUGGAUUUGGAUGAUGUCCUUUUUUAUAGUGUCUACUGUGAGGCAGCCUUUUGCUUUUUAGAUCCUGGUGUUGUCUGCCUCCAUGUGAAGUCAUGAGAGUGAUGCAAUUCUCCAACACAACAAGCCCUCUUCCCCGAAUACUCUGUACAUGUCCUUGGCUUUAAUUUUGAUCCUGCUAAACCUCAGGGAAGCUGACGCCGGGAGUCCUCUCUGAUUCUGGUUUCUUUUAUGGGCUUGCAAAGAAUCUAUUCCAAGGAUGGACCUGCAGUCCUAUCCUCAGCUUUUCCUAGCAAAAAUACCAGUAAGCUUAGGAGCAAAAUUGUCCCCACUCUUCCUGAGGACUGUCCUAGCCUCAUCCUGGCUUCAGCCUUGCUCUCUUUUUUGUCUCUGAACUGUGUGGUUUGGUACAAAGCUUUGAGUGUAAGGAGACCUCAUGGUCAUUUGCCUAGCCCUUUCCAUUCUUCAUUUGCAUCGUUUCAUUAGGUCCCGAGACCACAGCCCAGGAUUCUGUUCUGGGGCGGGUGGUGGUGAUCAAUGGAGUCAGCACAAGGAGUCUUGCAUCUUCUGGAGAGAGUCAGCAGGCAUGCUCCAGUUAAGUAUAGGGUAGAAUUAAGGAUUCUAUAAUCUAUAAGGUCACCCGUAUAGUCAAUCCACAGUUUCCCAGGAAUAAAACAAAAGGAAAGCUACUAAGCAAAUUAUAAUCGAGAUUAGUGAACAAAAUGAGAUGAAGUUUUAGCCACACAUAAGAUGCAAACAGAAAGAGUAGACUGUAAAACAGAAAAAGUAGAAUGUAAAAAUUUUAAAUUUCCUUUUUUUUUUUUUUUUUUUGUUUUUUACCAUUUAAAAUUGUCACUGGUUUUACACAGUCAAGGUUUGGCUGGCCAUCUGGGCAUCUUGGAAAAAUAGCUUUAAACUUCUCUCUUGGAAGCUAUACUGAAUCAGCACCCUGGAAAAAAGCAGCCAGUAUUCUCCGGAUGAAAUUUAGUUAGUAUUUAAGCCCUUCAAAUAAACGAAUCAGGGGACAACCUAGAGGUUGAGUCAACCCGUGAGUGACCCUAAUUGGGCAGACACUGCCCAUGAAAUGGCUGUCCUGGUGAAUCUGAACCAGAGCUGGCCUCCCAGAGAUGAAGCAGGGAAUAUCCCAGCAGCACAGGUUCAAGAUUCAAGGCUGCCUGCACCGUUUGGAAAGUGCGAGGCGUGCGGAUGAACACCUGCGGCAGGCUCUGCGGCCUGCUCGGCUCGGCCAGCCCCGUCUCGAGGCAGCCAGCCCAGGUCGCGCAAGCGCACAAGCAGGUCAGGUGCUGACUCCACCUCUGUGCAUCAGCGGAGGCUUAGGCGGUCCAGGUAAAUGUCGUAAUUGGUGACUUUGGGAUCUUUUUAACCUUUCGAAGCUCAUUUUACUAUCAGGAGGCGCCGGUUAAAUCACUUCCAAGGUCAUCUUCUCCUGCGCAUCUCUUGUUUUCGGCUGUUAGCCCAAGAUAGAUCCCUGCGUGGGUCUUUUUCAUUCACGGGUUUGAGAUGCCCUUCUUGGGGCCUGGUCUUCAUUUUCCUAGAGCGAUUGCGAGGGAAAAAUCAUCUGUGUAGCCUCAAGUGGUUCCUAUCUGGCUACGACAGAUUGUCCUCGGCACUCCAGGAGCUGAAAGCCAAAGAGAAUUACAUUAAACCGCAUUAAAAUUAUGUUUCAUCAUCCCAGCAGUAGACUCUCUAGAAACACCCAAGCAGAAGGAGCUGUCUCUCUCUGGACCUAGUCUUUGGUUAGAUGUAAUGCCAGUGACUUAGCAAACAUGAGAGGCACUGAGCCCCAACAUGCCACCCCACAAUCCCUCCCCCAAAAGAUAUCCUCCGAUUAGCCACACACAAGACUCAUACUGUCCAAAAAGCUCCCUUUCCUUUUCAUUCAUUUUAAAAGGCCUCCUGCCCAAUUUAUGACACACGUCACUCUAGCUCCCAAUUCUGAAGUCCCCCAGUGCCUAUGCCACCCCUUUCCUCCCACACACCCUGAUCCCUGGGAAGCAAAGAUUUUUAAAAUAUUGUACAACCAAGUAGAAAGUGCCUAGAGCUGCCCUGUGGGUGCUAAUGUCACCUUAGCUGCUUCCAUUCUUGUCUAUUUCCUCCCUCCUACACAAGAACAGUAAUUCUUAUCUAAUAGAUAAGAAAAAGAAAAUGAAAACACAGACCCAAGGUGUCAGCGAGAGGGCAAGAUUCGUGCAUUGCAUAAUGCAACCCUCCCUGUUGCAUCCAGAAUUUCAAGAGAAAGUUGGAAGAGAUGCAGGCUCGGAGCUCCAGGUCUGCAUUUUUUUCCAGGGGCACCCUGGGAAAGGAUGACUCACGCGCAUGGAGAUACAUAUUCCUUUGAUUCAUGUUUAAACGCUGCUACUUCUUAGGCUGCGGUUACGUGCAUUAUGAAUAUUUAAUGCUGCGUAUACUGAAAAUGAAGGUCAAGUCCUGCUCGCUGGUGACUUCAAGGCAGGCUCCUGUCUCUCAAGGGGAAGCUACCUGCUGUUAGCAGAGUAGAGCUGAAAGGUUAUACAUUGUUAAAUUUUUCCUUAAUGACUUUAUCUGCUCCAAAAUGGCUGGCGUGCAGUGGGGGGCGCCUGCUGCUUGUUCCACUCUCUGCUCUCGACUUCCGGUAUCUGCAAGGCUGUUUGGGGUCUGUGGACAUUAUGAAGGAGGAGGGGGAAGCAGCUCAAGUUUUGUAGAGCACCUAACCCAAGGGCCUGAUUGCCAGGGCAUCAAAGGGGUAAUGUUUGGGAAAUGGCCUCUCCCCAGUCUUCUUAAAAUUUUAACUUUUGUAUUUAUUCAUUCAUUCUGUAUUCAUGCAUUCACUUGAAACAUCUUCAAAUGUGUUAAUGCUGACUGUUUCCUGGGUGGCAAAAUUGCUUAUGGUUAGGUAUGGUUGAGGAAAACUAUCUUUAAGGUUGCGAUAGGAACUGACCAGAUUGUUUUCACAGUCUCCGAAAUAAAGCUGGCCCCGUUGAUGUAACACGGAUACCUCGAGCUUUAGCAGAGCCGGGGUGAGUUGCCCAACAAUUUCACUCACCCCAGCCUUUGCACAGCCUGGCUUCUCAUCCCUCAGCCUAGAAAUGCUCUUUCAAAAAGGAAGAGGUGGCAGGCGGUUAGAAGGAACUAAUAAUAUUUGCUGAUUACGUGCUGUCUGUGAGCUAUAGUGCCAGGCGUGCGAUGUCACUGAAUUCCCCUAACGACUUCUUCGGGGAGGCAUCACCAUUCCCACUCUGCAGACGGGGAGGCGAAGCUGCAGCCUUAGCCCGAGCCACGUAGCUGGUAAGCGGUGGAGCCAGGAUUUGAUUCCAGCCUGGCUCCUUCUAAAGCCAUCGCUCUCCCCGGUGUCAAGAAGUGAAAUUCCAGAUUGUGGAAGUAACUGAUGGGGUUUAGUGAGAUGUUGCAAGAAUGAGAGGUCACAGGGCCUCAUCUCCCCCAAUCCAUCAGUCUUGUUUCCUCUUCUGUCCUCCCUCUCCCCUUUUCUCACGCUGGGAGCCAAGUCUGUAGUUGGAGGUACCCAGGAGGCUCCCACCAUGGGCUUUCCCCCUAAGACACUGCCCUGGGUCAUGUGCCGGUUGCUGUCUGCUUGGGCCUUGAUGCAUUCCUUCCCAAUAAUGGCUUAGUAAAACCCACUUCUCUUCUAUGUCAGUGGAGUGGCAGCAUUUUGUGAUAGGUACGGUCAAGUGUAUAAAGAACAAGGAUGGUUGAUUGUUCCUCACAGGCUUCUCCCACCUGGGAGAUUCUGUCCAAGUAGACGGACCCUUUGGUCUUCCCAUCCUUACCUACUUCCCAGCACCUGUCAUUUGGCACACUGAAGUAGAUAAUGACAAGUGCCCAUUUCCCAAGGAGAUAAAUUCUUUGAUCUCUUUCGAGAGUUAUAGAAUUAGUUCGUUGUUGUUUUGCAUUAUGUUGCAGAAUAUUUAUGUGCCUAGAAAGUCAGUAUUAUCAAACUAAUAGAUUUUAGGCAAAUUGGGCCCCCAAAAAGAUUCUAUGGACAUCUUAAGAAAUGACAUAAGAUACCUUGCUUCCUUCUCCAGCCUUGUUCUGACUGUGCACAGGUGACAACUCGGUGCCUCUCAUGUGUCCAGCCUCACAGCAGGCACCUGGCAGAGCUCUGAGGACAGCAUAGAUCCCAUGAGUGACAGUGCAUUGCAAACUGUAAAGUGCUGUGCACACUAGCUUUCGCUGUCACCAUUAGUACUCCACACCUCACAGCAGGGCCAGCUGGGCAGCCCGUGGCGUAGAGAGAGAAGCUCACCAGCUUGCUCCGUGCCCAGUUCCUUUACGGAACACAGCCUUUCUAGGUAGUGCUCUGGAAAAUUAGCCCCAGCUCUCCGCCUUGGUGCCCUUUUCCAGAAGUCACGGCAUGCAUUUAACCUUUGUGGAAGAAGUCAACACAAAUCACUGUGUGUGCAAAGCAUCUCCCUAUUCCCCCCCCCUUUUUUUUUCUUUUUAAAUACUCCCCCCAAUUUUCUCCACCCCUCAGUGACAUUUUUAUUGCCAGGCUUUGAUUUGGAAAAUUAUGGGUAGGGAAAGUUCAAGGGCAGGAUGUUCGGAACAGCACUGCACAUCUGUGAAGGGAACACGACAGGAGAGCCAGCAGCUGUUGGAAGCCCCGAAUGUCAGAUGGCAGAGGGGCCCACUGAAGGAUGGGGAGAGGAGACGCCCUCAGGGCAAAGAGCCUAUAAAUAACUCCCAGUGGGAAGUCCUUGUGCCCUUUUAGGAUUUACCCUUUAAUGGCAGCACUCCGUUCCCUGGCAUGGGAGUGACCUUAACUCAUCCCUUCUACCUCGUCUCGUUUUCUCGCUGCCAUUCCUUCAUUAACUGAGUGCAUACCCGGUAGAGAAGACAGUGGAGAGAACACCAAGGAAUAGAGUCAACUUCUAUGCAUGUCCUUGUCUCUGUGUGGGCAGAGUUUGGAGAACAAGGUAUGUUCUUUGGUUCCCAAACAGAUUGGCUUCAUUUACCUCAAAGUUCAGAGCCUGAGUGGCGCCCUUCCUCUUUCUCCCCUCCACACUGGCGGGGGGUCUGGGCUUCCUUGCUUCUUUCUCACUGCUCGAGCGGUACCUCAGUGUGACAGCACCUGGCCGCAUCAGGGGACUGCUUAUCUUGGGCACUUCACUGGCAAAAAAAUCAAGGACCAUGCUAGGAGUGGAAGAGCACAGAGCUGGACCUGCCAGGUUCGCUACCAAAGG